AUUGAACGCUGGCGGCAUGCUUUACACAUGCAAGUCGAACGGCAGCGCGGGCUUCGGCCUGGCGGCGAGUGGCGAACGGGUGAGUAAUACAUCGGAACGUGCCCAGUAGUGGGGGAUAGCUCGGCGAAAGCCGGAUUAAUACCGCAUACGACCUGAGGGUGAAAGCGGGGGAUCUUCGGACCUCGCGCUAUUGGAGCGGCCGAUGGCAGAUUAGCUAGUUGGUGGGGUAAAGGCCUACCAAGGCGACGAUCUGUAGCUGGUCUGAGAGGACGACCAGCCACACGGGGGCUGAGACACGGCCCAGACUCCUACGGGAGGCAGCAGUGGGGAAUUUUGGACAAUGGGCGAAAGCCUGAUCCAGCAAUGCCGCGUGUGUGAUGAAGGCCUUCGGGUUGUAAAGCACUUUUGGCGGGAACGAAAAGGACUGUGCCAAUACCACGGUUCGAUGACGGUACCCGCAGAAUAAGCACCGGCUAACUACGUG
RNAcentral lists this ribosomal RNA (484 nucleotides) under uncultured bacterium. RNAcentral describes it as "partial 16S ribosomal RNA". It matches the Rfam family "Bacterial small subunit ribosomal RNA", at positions 29 to 507 of the family's 1533-position model. The record is from RNAcentral.